CCUACGGUGGGCAGCAGUGGGGGAUAUUGCACAAUGGGGGGAACCCUGAUGCAGCGACGCCGCGUGGGUGAAGGAGUGUUUCGGUAUGUAAAGCCCUAUCGGCAGGGAAGAACAAUGACGGUACCUGACUAAGAAGCACCGGCUAAAUACGUGCCAGCAGCCGCGGUAAUACGUAGGGUGCAAGCGUUAUCCGGAUUUACUGGGUGUAAAGGGAGCGCAGGCGGCGCGGUAAGCCUGGGGUGAAAGCCCGGGGCCCAACCCCGGGACUGCACUGGGAACUGCAGGGCUGGAGUGCCGGAGGGGCAGGCGGAAUUCCUAGUGUAGCGGUGAAAUGCGUAGAUAUCAGGAGGAACACCAGCGGCGAAGGCGGCCUGCUGGACGGCGACUGACGUUGAGGCUCGAAAGCGUGGGGAGCGAACAGGAUUAGAUACCCGAGUAGUC
Molecule: ribosomal RNA, 441 nt
Filed under: uncultured bacterium
Lineage: Bacteria
Description: partial 16S ribosomal RNA
Rfam family: Bacterial small subunit ribosomal RNA
Source: RNAcentral